GCCAAUACAGCUUAGAGAAUCAACACUUUUAAAUAGCUGCUUUUCGCGGCAUCCUUCGUAAAACUUGGGUUGAAAUCCAAAACCCUCGUACUUCAGUUAAGCCUCCAAAACCCUCAAAACCCUGCAAAUUCUAAUCUACACUAUUGAUGGCGAAACCGAGCUCUUGGAUUCAGCAUGUCGAAGCCUUUGUUGAUGUCUCUCGUCCUCCGAAUCAACAGAUUGUAAGUGUAGAUGCUGUCGCUUCACUUUUGAAGAAUGGUCUCGUAACUAUAGAAACACUAGUCAGGGAAAUGGAAAUGUAUUUGACAACUACAGACAAUGUCAUUCGUGCUAGAGGUAUCCUCCUUCUAGGAGAAGUGCUUACACGUCUUACAGCAAAUCCACUAAACAAUGCUACUGUACAUAGCUUGAUAAGGUUCUUCACGGAAAGGCUGGCAGAUUGGCAAGCUUUACAUGGUGCCCUUCUUGGUUGCUUGGCACUCUUGAAAAGGAAAAGUAAUGCUGGAAUGGUUACUGGCAGUGAUGCAAAAGCAGUUGCUGAAUCUUACUUGCAGAAUCUACAAGUGCAGUCAUUAGGACAGCAUGACCGUCAGAUGUGCUUUGAGCUUCUUGAGUGUCUUUUAAGUGGCUAUCCUAAUGAUGUUGCAACCUUGGGUGAUGACCUUGUUUAUGGUAUAUGUGAAGCAAUUGAUGGAGAAAGGGAUCCUAAAUGUUUAAUGCUCACUUUUCAUCUUGUGGAAAUUCUUGCACAAUUAUUUCCAGAUCCUUCUGGUCCGCUAGCAAGUUAUGCCUCCGAUAUUUUCGAGAUUUUGAGUUCUUACUUUCCCAUCCACUUCACACAUCCGAAAAGUGAUGAUCUCUAUGUUAAAAGGGAUGACCUUUCAAGGGCGUUAAUGCUUGCAUUCUCUUCAACUCCUUUUUAUGAGCCUUUUGCUAUCCCGUUACUUCUUGAAAAGUUAUCUUCUUCUCUGCCAUCUGCAAAGGUUGAUUCUUUGAAGUAUCUCAGUUCUUCUGCAUCAAAAUAUGGUGUGGAUAGAAUGGAAAAACAUAGCAGAGCUAUUUGGAUGUCUUUAAAGGACACAAUUUUUUCUUCGUCAAGUGAAGAUGUAUUAUCAUUGGCAUCAGAGUCGCCUGAUGCUAUGGGGUUCCAGGAGAAUGAAGUUGUAAAAGAGGGUCUAGUUUGUUUAUAUCAUGUUAUUUUGCAAAAUGAAAGGUUAUUUACAAAUUUGAUUGUUGAAGAUGAAGAUGUUGAGAUGAUUUUCAGGUCUGUCACAAGUUGUAGAAGUUAUAAUGGUAUAACUGUAGAAAACAGGAAGAAGCUGCAAGCACUUGGACGCAUUAUAUCUGUUUCAGCAAAAGUCUCCAGUUCUUCCUGUAGUAGGAUUUUCCAAAGUUUCUUUAUCCGUUUGAUGGACAUCCUUGGAGUUUCCUCAGAUGGAAGUGGUUUUCUUUCUGAAAAACUGAAUUCUGGGGCUCUUUACCUUUGCAUUGAACUUCUUGCUGCAUGCAAGGAUUUGGUUUUAGACUCUGGAGAACCUGCUCCAGAAUCUUUUUCAUUGGAAGACACUUGGUGCAACUUGCUUCAAAAAUUUUCUGCUCCACUGACUGAUGCUUUCAGUUCUAUUUUGGUAUCAAGUAUGGAACAAGGUUUCUCUGAAGAUAUUUAUACCGGAGUGAAGGGUUUGCAGUCUCUGGCAACAUUUCCUGGAUUCUUGCCAAUAUUAAAACCAGUAUAUGAGAAUAUCUUGGCAAUCUUUAUGUCAAUUAUAACUUCUGGUUGUGAAAUUACAUUGUUAUGGAAGCUGAGUUUGAAGGCAUUAGUGCAGAUUGGUAUCUUUAUUGAGAAAUAUCAUGAUUCCGAGAAGGCAUUGAGCUACAUGAACAUUGUCGUUGAAAAGUUUAUUAAGUUGAUUCACAAUGAUGAUUCUGUUAUGUCUCUUCAACUGAAGCUGGAGGCAGCUACUGACAUUGGUAGUACGGGGAAGGAUGUUAUGCUCAGAAUAGCUCAGGGGAUGGAAGAAGCUAUAUCUACCAGUUUCUAUGAGGCUUGUGUCAAAGGAAAUUUGAAGUCAGUUGAGAUUUUAGUACCUGUGCUGGAGUGUUACUCCACUAAGGUGCUUCCUUGGUUCCAUAAAACUGGGGAGUUUGAGAAAGUUGUGUUGAACUUUGCAAUCAAUAUUUGGAUUCAGAUAGAAAGUAUUAUGACUUUCAACAUUUGCUUUCGAGAAAAAGAGUUGCUUGAUGCAACAGUGAUGGCAAUGAAUCUGGCUGUUGGAAUUUGUUCGGAGGAAAAUCAGUCCAUGAUAGUUCAAAAGGCAUAUGAUGUACUUUCAUUAGCGACUUUUCUUCCACUGAAUGAGUCAGUCCCUCUCUCAGCUCCUGUAAAACUAGAAGGGUUACAAUGUUCCCAAGAUUUCUGUAGUUUUUCAAGUACAGAUGAGUGGCUUAUUUCAUUAUUUGCAUCAGUAAUUAUGGCAGUUCGCCCUCAAACAGAAAUUCCAAAUGUAAGAUUUAUAUUGAAGCUGUUCAUGUUUGCUCUUUUGAGAGGACAAGUUCCAGCAGCUCAGGCAUUGGGUUCUAUGAUUAACAAAUUGCCUGUAAAAUUAAACUCAACAGAAGGCUCGAGUACCUGCACUUUGGAAGAGGCAAUGGAUAUAAUCUUCGAGGCAAAUUUAUGGAGUUUGUCUGGUAAUGUCCCUUUAAGAAAAUGCAGUACUAUGGAUAGAAAUAAGGUGGCCAUUGCUACUUUAUUUCUCAACAGUCAUGAGAAUGUGAAUGUUCAAACCCAAGCUAUUGUUGGAUUGGCAUGGAUAGGGAAAGGUUUACUUAUGCGAGGCCAUGAAAAAGUGAAAGAGAUCACAAUGCUUUUCUUAGGAUGCUUGCUGUCAAGUGGUGAAAUUGGGAUCUUGCCUUUGCAGCAAGAUUCUUUGGGAGAUUUUAAUGGCCAGGAUAUAGAUCCUGUCGUGAUGAGAUCAGCAGCUGAUGCAUUCCAUGUCCUUCUAGGUGAUUCUGAAGUUUGUCUAAAUAAAAGGUGUCAUGCAAGCAUACGACCUCUUUAUAGGCAACAUUUUUUUUCUAUCAUGAUGCCCAUUCUUCUCUUUUCAAUAGCUGAAUCUGAUUCUUCAACUUCCAGACGUAUGCUCUAUCGAGCUUUUGCGCAUUUCAUUUCUGGUACUCCAGUCGUUGCUGUUGUAGCUGAAGCGAAGAAGCUUAUUGCUGUCAUAUUGGAUGCCUUGUCCAUGUUGAGUAUGGAUGUUCUGGAUAAAGAUCUGGUCUAUAGCCUCUUACUGACCCUAUCUGCAAUCUUAACAGAUGAAAAUGAACGAGAUACUGUUUCAGAGAAUGCUCAUAUAAUCGUAGAUUGCCUCAUUGGACUGGCCUCCUACUCCCACAUGAUGCUUGUUCGAGAGACAGCAAUUCAAUGUCUUGUUGCUUUAUCAGGGCUCCCCUAUGUGAGGAUUUAUCCUAUGAGAACAAAGGUAUAUAGGGUUGCUUUUCUCUUUUACAACAGGCGGCACUUAUUCUCAGGUGUUACGAGCGAUUUUAAAGGCUCUUGAUGAUCCGAAGAGGAUAGUUCGCGAAGAAGCCGUUCGAUGUCGUCAAGCUUGGGCGUCAAUUGCUUCUAGGAGUAUUCAUUUCUAAGAGACUUGGCAAGAGUUAAAACUUGAUGAGAAUGCUCAUCUUUCCAACACACCUAGUUUUCUUCCAAAAGGUUUUUCCAUGUAAAUCUCAUUCUCUGUAUUUACUUUUGUAAUACAGUUUGAAAUUUCAAUAGAAUGAAACUGUCCAUGUGGAUUUGUAGUGAUUACACCUUAUCUUCGUGUUGUGUGAUAUAGGACAAAGUAUGGUUCCAUGAAUAGAAAAACCAUCUAGCAAACAUGUUUUUUCUCUUGAGA
Molecule: RNA transcript, 3896 nt
Organism: Telopea speciosissima
Lineage: Eukaryota; Viridiplantae; Streptophyta; Magnoliopsida; Proteales; Proteaceae
Gene name: MMS19 nucleotide excision repair protein homolog
Exons: 21
Source: RefSeq, a predicted model, not a curated record